UUCAUAGAUCGGUAGGGGAGCGUCGUGUUCAGCAGUGAAGCUAUAGCGGAAGCAAUGGUGGAGCGGACACGAGUGAGAAUGCAGGCAUGAGUAGCUAUAAGACAGGUGAGAAUCCUGUCCGCCGAAAACCCAAGGUUUCUCCGGCUAUGUUCGUCAGACGGAGGUUAGGCGGUCCCUAAGGUGAGGCCAGAAGGCGUAGCCGAUGGACAUCCAGUAGACAUUCUGGACCCGGGUUUAUCAGCCAUGGGAGGACGCUUCUCGAUAUUCCAUCCCGCACUGUUGGUAGUUGCGGGCUAGGCAAAGGUUUGGCUAGCUGAAAGACUAGCGUAAUGACUAAUGCCGGGGAAGGGAACUCUUCGGAGUGAACGAACUGGAAUUGAGGGGGGCCGAGAAAAGCCCCACAGCAUUAAUGAUAAAUUCGACCGUACUGUAAACCGACACAGGUGGGUGAGUCGAGGAGACUAAGGCGUUCGAGAGAACUCUCGUUAAGGAACUAGGCAAAUGAGCCCCGUAACUUCGGGAUAAGGGGCGCCAGCGCAAGCUGGCCGCAGCGAAGCAGCCCAGGCGACUGUUUACCAAAAACACAGGUCUCUGCUAACACGAAAGUGGAUGUAUAGGGGCUGACGCCUGCCCAAUGCCAGUAGGUUAACAGGAGAUGUCAGGAGUAAUCCGAAGCAUUGAAUCGAAGCCCUGGUGAAUGGCGGCCGUAACUCUAACGGUCCUAAGGUAGCGAAAUUCCUUGUCGGCUAAAUACCGACCCGCAUGAAAGGCGUAACGACUUGGGCACUGUCUCAACGAGAAGCUCGGUGAAAUUGUAGCACCCGUGAAGAUGCGGGUUACGCGCAGUAGGACGGAAAGACCCCGUGGAGCUUUACUACACCCUGUCACUGCGAAUUGGGUGUAGAUGUAGAGAGUAGGUGGGAGCUUAGGCACCAAUGGAACACCACCCUUCUACAUCUGGUUCGCUAACCGUCACCAUUAUCUGGUGACGAGACAAUGACAGGCGGGUAGUUUGACUGGGGCGGUCGCCUCCCAAAAGGUAACGGAGGCGCCUAAAGUUGCACUCAGGCUGGUUGGAAAUCAGCCGUCGAGCGUAUAGGUAUAUAGUGCGAUUGACUGCGAGACAAACAGGUCGAGCAGGGACGAAAGUCGAGCUAAGUGACCCUCUGGUGGUGCGUGGGCACGCCAGGGUUCAUCGGAUAUAAGCUACCCCGGGGAUAACAGGCUGAUCUUGCCCGAGCGCUCACAGCGACGGCAUGGUUUGGCACCUCGAUGUCGGCUCGUCUCAUCCUGGGGCUGUACACGGUCCCAAGGGUUCCGGAGUUCACGGAUUAAAGAGGCACGCGAGCUGGGUUCAGAACGGCGUGAGCCAGUUCGGUCCCUAUCCACUGCGCGCGGAGGAAAUUUGAGAGGACUCGCUCCUAGUACGAGAGGACCGGAGUGAACCGACCUCUGGUGUACCUGUUGUGCCGCCAGGCGCAUACGCAGGGUAGCCACGUCGGGUCGUGAUAAGCGCUGAAAGCAUCUAAGCGCCAAGCACACCUCAAGAUGAGAUUUCCCAUCGAAAGAGUAAGGCCCCCGGAAGACUACCGGGUUGAUAGGUCGCAGGUGUGAGCGCAGUAAUGUGUUAAGCUGAGCGAUACUAAUUGGCCGAGGGC
This 1658-nucleotide ribosomal RNA is filed under the name metagenome. RNAcentral describes it as "bacterial LSU rRNA". It matches the Rfam family "Bacterial large subunit ribosomal RNA", at positions 1217 to 2912 of the family's 2925-position model. The record is from RNAcentral.